GUAGACGCAGAGAACUGAAACAUCUUAGUACCUGCAGGAAGAGAAAGAAAAUUCGAUUCCCUGAGUAGCGGCGAGCGAAACGGGAAGAGCCCAAACCAACAAGCUUGCUUGUUGGGGUUGUAGGACUCCAAUAUGGUAGUCUGUUAGUAUAGUUGAAGGAUUUGGAAAAUUCCGCUAAAGAGGGUGAAAGCCCCGUAGACGAAAUGCUAGCAACACCUAGGAGGAUCCUGAGUACGGCGGAACACGAGAAAUUCCGUCGGAAUCCGCGGGGACCAUCCCGCAAGGCUAAAUACUCCCUAGUGACCGAUAGUGAACCAGUACCGUGAGGGAAAGGUGAAAAGCACCCCGGAAGGGGAGUGAAAUAGAUCCUGAAACCGUGUGCCUACAACAAGUCAAAGCUCGUUAAUGAGUGAUGGCGUGCCUUUUGUAGAAUGAACCGGCGAGUUACGAUUGCAUGCGAGGUUAAGUCGAAGAGACGGAGCCGCAGCGAAAGCGAGUCUGAAUAGGGCGAAUGAGUAUGUAGUCGUAGACCCGAAACCAUGUGAUCUACCCAUGUCCAGGUUGAAGGUGCGGUAAAACGCACUGGAGGACCGAACCCACG
This 601-nucleotide ribosomal RNA is filed under the name Listeria monocytogenes. RNAcentral describes it as "partial 23S ribosomal RNA". It matches the Rfam family "Bacterial large subunit ribosomal RNA", at positions 179 to 784 of the family's 2925-position model. Lineage: Bacteria; Bacillati; Bacillota; Bacilli; Caryophanales; Listeriaceae. The record is from RNAcentral.